Long non-coding RNA from Phyllopteryx taeniolatus (common seadragon), 1323 nucleotides. RefSeq lists it as uncharacterized. The record is from RefSeq and is a predicted model, not a curated record. Lineage: Eukaryota; Metazoa; Chordata; Actinopteri; Syngnathiformes; Syngnathidae. The transcript is spliced from 2 exons.
UCUCGUUUGCCAACAAAAUUACAUUGGUUGCUGUGCUUGGAUUAAAACUAUAGCCACUAAUGUAAUGUAAUGUGACGAAAUCUUAUCUUCUCAUUUUAGACUCCUGUUCACGCCAUACGACUUGAACCCCCAUCCUUCUGGCCCCGGAUCUGCGGCGUGGGGCUCUUGGGGAUGCUGGGCCUGUUUCCCCCUCCUCCUCUUAGGAAGUGGAGUGGCUGGAGUUGGGGUGCGUCCGACACAACCUGAAGCUGAACACGAGAUGAGAGAGAUGAUCGUGGACUUCAGGAGGCAUCCUGUGCCAACCAUCGAGACCUUCAAGUUACUGGGAAUGACAGUCUCUCAGGACCUGAAGUGGGAGACCAACAUCAACUCUAUCUUCAAAAAGGCCCAGCAGAGAAUGUACUUCCUGCGGCUUCUGAGGAAGCACUGCCUGCCACAGGAGAUGUUGAGGCACCACAGCAGUCAUCGAAUCAGUCCUCUGUUCAUCCAGCACAGUCUGGUUUGGUGCUGCCACAAAAAAGGACAAACUCCGACUGCAAGGGACAAUCAAAACUUCUGAAAAAAUUGUCGGUACCCCCCCUACCCACCAUUGAGGACUUGCACGCUGCCAGAACUAAGACGAUGCAAAAUCCUCCACAUCCUGGUCAACACCUCUUCCAGCUCCUUCCCUUAGGUAGGCGCUAUCAAACAAUGCAAACUAAAACUAGCAGACAUUCCAACAGCUUCUUCCCUCUUGCCAUUAACUUCUUAAACAGUUAAAUUAAGUUAAAUGCCAUCGUAACAUGCUGACAAUUUUGUCUCGACAUUGUUGUCACAUCUCUGUUGGGCCAAUUAUACAUUAUUUGUGGACUCAGUGUAGUAGUCCCGUCACUCUGCCCUAUUUGCAUAUCUGCUGUUGACCAAUACUGGCCACUCAUAUUCUUGAGAAGUAUCUGCAUCAUUUGCACAAUUGAGACUGUUCCAGAUUAUCGCACUACUGGUCACUUGAAUCAUCUUAAAAUUCUCAAAGUCUCUGCAUCUUUUGCACAAUGGUCACUGGACCAGAUUAUCCCUCUAUUAGUCAUUUUACACUGCUCUCAAUUGUUAAAAGACUGCAUCAUUUGCACAGUUGUCAAAAACUGAAAAGAAAACAAUUGUAUCGGCAUUACCACAUUACCGCUAACCUUUCACUACUCAGUGACUGUGUUUUUUAUGUUUUUGUCGCCGAAGUAUUUUCUAUCAAAUGUCUGUCUGUUGUCGUACUAGAGUGGCUCUAACUACUGGAGGCAAAUUCCUUGUGUGUUUUUGACAUACUUGGCAAAUAAAGAUGAUUCUGAUUCUGAA